Non-coding RNA from Vicia faba (fava bean), 213 nucleotides. Lineage: Eukaryota; Viridiplantae; Streptophyta; Magnoliopsida; Fabales; Fabaceae. The record is from the annotation of a GenBank genome assembly.
AUGGGUCAGCCAGCUGCCGACACAACUGAUCUAUCUGCUCGGGGACCAUCACAUUCCCAUUCCUCUAUCAAGAGAGAUGCUGCAAGGCUCUUCUUGAGGAAGUCCAGCUAUGUGAUUGCCUUGAGGGGUAACAAGGAUCUUCCUAUGGAAAUCCAACAUGGUGAUUGCCUCGAGGGGCGACAAGGAUUUUCUUAUGGAAAUCCAGCAUUAUGA